Molecule: unclassified non-coding RNA, 338 nt
Filed under: soil metagenome
Description: partial contains 5.8S ribosomal RNA, internal transcribed spacer 2, and large subunit ribosomal RNA
Rfam family: 5.8S ribosomal RNA (bases 1-120)
Source: RNAcentral
GAUGAAGAACGUAGCGAAAUGCGAUAAGUAGUGUGAAUUGCAGAAUUCAGUGAAUCAUCGAAUCUUUGAACGCACAUUGCGCCCUUUGGUAUUCCAAAGGGCAUGCCUGUUCGAGCGUCAUUUGUACCCUCAAGCUUUGCUUGGUGUUGGGCGUCUUGUCUCCAGUUCGCUGGAGACUCGCCUUAAAGUAAUUGGCAGCCGGCCUACUGGUUUCGGAGCGCAGCACAAGUCGCGCUCUCUUCCAGCCAAGGUCAGCAUCCACAAAGCCUUUUUUCAACUUUUGAUCUCGGAUCAGGUAGGGAUACCCGCUGAACUUAAGCAUAUCAAUAAGCGGAGGA